UCAACGCGUCGUCAAAUGACCAAUGAUGGACAGAUUUCGGGAAGAGCACGACAUAAAUCUCCAAAGAAUUAAACAUUCUCAAAAAGGUUUCAAGACCAGUGACAUGACUCCACAAAGACUGGAAUGGAGUACAUUCACUUUACUAUCCUGUAACAUGAAAUGGUGUGGAGAUGCCAGCACUUGAACCAAGGCUGCUUUGAAUUACAUUCAAAUCCUACCUCAACUCAUUACCACUGCUACAAAUUUGUUUUCCGCAAAAUGCAGAAUUUAUACUUCAGCGCAACUGUCCUUCAAAAACCAAGGCCUUGGAAACACAGAACAUAACUAUCAGCAAUCAAGACUGGCAGGUCAUGUUCAAGGUAGACCUGAACAUCUCUUUUUGUUCCCACCCUACUGAGAACCAUUGAAACACCAAAAAAUAUCAGUAGUACUAAGAAGAUAAUGGUAAAAUCUUUGAAUUACUAAGGGCUAUUACUCACCCUCUUACAUAUGCACAUGAGAAAUGAUACCAAUAUUCUUACCUAAAACUUCCUCAUAAUCAACAAGAUCAAACCAAACAACAGCUACCGAUGUCCAGACUCCCAGCAAUGCAAUGACCAUAAACCAUGUGAAGAAUGAGCUUCCAGAAAGGCCUCCUUUCCUCCCAUUCUUGUGUCCUCCAUGUUUUGU
Molecule: long non-coding RNA, 669 nt
Organism: Talpa occidentalis (Iberian mole)
Lineage: Eukaryota; Metazoa; Chordata; Mammalia; Eulipotyphla; Talpidae
Exons: 4
Source: RefSeq, a predicted model, not a curated record